RNAcentral lists this ribosomal RNA (650 nucleotides) under uncultured bacterium. RNAcentral's name for it is "bacterial SSU rRNA". It matches the Rfam family "Bacterial small subunit ribosomal RNA", at positions 74 to 715 of the family's 1533-position model. The record is from RNAcentral.
CCGGGGAGUCUCGGAGUGAUUAGAGCGGCGGACGGGUGAGUAAUGCGUGGGAAUCUGGCUAGUAGUGGGGGAUAACUUGGGGAAACUCAAGCUAAUACCGCAUAAUAUCUUAGGAUUAAAGGGUGCCUCUUCGUGAAAGCACUUGCUAUUAGAUGAGCCCACGUCGGAUUAGCUAGUUGGUUGGGUAAAGGCUGACCAAGGCGACGAUCCGUAGCUGGUCUGAGAGGAUGAUCAGCCACACUGGGACUGAGACACGGCCCAGACUCCUACGGGAGGCAGCAGUGGGGAAUAUUGGACAAUGGGCGCAAACCUGAUCCAGCCAUGCCGUGUGUGUGAAGAAGGCUUUAGGGUUGUAAAGCACUUUAAGUUGUGAGGAAGUGGCGCGGAUGAAUAGUUUGUGUCAUUGACGUUAGCGACAGAAUAAGCACCGGCUAACUCCGUGCCAGCAGCCGCGGUAAUACGGAGGGUGCGAGCGUUAAUCGGAAUUACUGGGCGUAAAGGGCGCGUAGGUGGUUUGGUAAGUUAGAUGUGAAAUUCCCGGGCUUAACCUGGGGUGGUCAUCUAAAACUGUCAGGCUAGAGUGCGAUAGAGGGGGGUAGAAUUUCCGGUGUAGCGGUGAAAUGCGUAGAGAUCGGAAGGAAUACCGGUGG